Molecule: ribosomal RNA, 429 nt
Filed under: bacterium
Lineage: Bacteria
Description: partial 16S ribosomal RNA
Rfam family: Bacterial small subunit ribosomal RNA
Source: RNAcentral
UAGGGAAUCUUCCACAAUGGACGCAAGUCUGAUGGAGCAACGCCGCGUGAGUGAAGAAGGUUUUCGGAUCGUAAAGCUCUGUUGUUGGUGAAGAAGGAUAGAGGCAGUAACUGGUCUUUAUUUGACGGUAAUCAACCAGAAAGUCACGGCUAACUACGUGCCAGCAGCCGCGGUAAUACGUAGGUGGCAAGCGUUGUCCGGAUUUAUUGGGCGUAAAGCGAGCGCAGGCGGAAUGAUAAGUCUGAUGUGAAAGCCCACGGCUCAACCGUGGAACUGCAUCGGAAACUGUCAUUCUUGAGUGCAGAAGAGGAGAGUGGAAUUCCAUGUGUAGCGGUGGAAUGCGUAGAUAUAUGGAAGAACACCAGUGGCGAAGGCGGCUCUCUGGUCUGCAACUGACGCUGAGGCUCGAAAGCAUAGGUAGCGAACAGG